RNAcentral lists this ribosomal RNA (496 nucleotides) under uncultured bacterium. RNAcentral describes it as "partial 16S ribosomal RNA". It matches the Rfam family "Bacterial small subunit ribosomal RNA", at positions 28 to 506 of the family's 1533-position model. The record is from RNAcentral.
GAUGAACGCUGGCGGCGUGCCUAAUACAUGCAAGUCGAGCGAACAGAUGAGGAGCUUGCUCCUCUGACGUUAGCGGCGGACGGGUGAGUAACACGUGGAUAACCUACCUAUAAGACUGGGAUAACUUCGGGAAACCGGAGCUAAUACCGGAUAAUAUAUUGAACCGCAUGGUUCAAUAGUGAAAGACGGUUUUGCUGUCACUUAUAGAUGGAUCCGCGCCGCAUUAGCUAGUUGGUAAGGUAACGGCUUACCAAGGCAACGAUGCGUAGCCGACCUGAGAGGGGGAUCGGCCACUCUGGAACUGAGACACGGUACAGACUCCGACGGGAGGCAGCAGUAGGGAAGCGUCCGCAAUGGGCGAAAGCCUGACGGAGCAACGCCGCGUGAGUGAUGAAGGGCUUCGGAUCGUAAAACGCUGUUAUUAGGGAAGAACAAAUGUGUAAGUAACGAUGCACGUCUUGACGGUACCUAAUCAGAAAGCCACGGCUAACUACGU